RNAcentral lists this long non-coding RNA (1223 nucleotides) under Gallus gallus (chicken). RNAcentral's name for it is "long non-coding RNA NONGGAT004058". Lineage: Eukaryota; Metazoa; Chordata; Aves; Galliformes; Phasianidae. The record is from RNAcentral.
GAAAAAUAUACCCUCCAAUUGCUAUUUAUGAUAUGAUUACACAGGUCAAGUUUAAUUUCAGCAUUGUGGAUGAAUAUGUUACCCAAUCAUUGUAAUGAUGCACUCUCAAACCAGCAGUGGGGCUGAGGAUGGAAAGAAAACCUUGUUUAUAACUUGUCUGCUGAUGAUUGGAGUUUGUUAUGAAAGCGUUCUGAUGCAAUCAUCAGUGACACAAAGGUAAGGAAUGUUCGUACCCUUCUGCUAUCACCGUAACAGUAGCUGUGUGACAGGUGAGAGGUAUGGCAGAGAAGGGGCAGUAUUGCAGGAGGGAUCACUUUUCCUCAGGGCUAAAGCAAGAGCAUACUUAAUCAUACUAGUACUUUUCAGUAGUCACAUGUGCUUCAGAAGCUCCUGUGUUCAGUGGAAAGGAGCCUCCUCAAGAACGUACAACGGUCUGAGCACCGCCCUGCAGCAGCCCCCGAACCAGCAAGAUGGGCUUCUUGCAAAAGGAGGCGGCACCGCUGGAUCAAGACUGCUGAGGAUGCAGAAUUGUAGUCCCUGGAGAAAGGAACGGCUGUCUUCCACCCAUAUAACUCAAAAAGUGGAAACUUCUCAGGUCUGCUCUUCAAAUUGUAAUUCAAAGAGAUUUUGUAAAUUAGCUAAACACUCGACACCAACCUUCCCUCUCCCAGCCCCAUUCGGAAGAAGAAGAUACCUCCUCCAGAAGCCUGCUAGCAGCUAGGGAGGAAGAAAUGUGGAGAUUUUUCACUUGUUCCAGGAGGCUCUGAGUUCAGCGAGUGCUAUGGGGAAUGGUGAUAGGUGUCCUGUGACACGUACACAAAGCCCAGUGGUCAGCUACAGAAGAUGGGCAGUCAUCAAGAAUAGGGUUAAGUCCUCAACCAUGUUUUCUCCAUGUCAUGCCAUGUAGCCUACAGUCCUACCUAUCUGUACUGUUUAGGUUUAAAAUAAUCCCCUUACCUAUGAUGGACAUACCAGUGCAGAAGGCAUCACAUUUCACACGGUCCCCAGGCUACCUCAAUUCGAACUAGCAGAAGCUACAACACAGUGCUGUGUUGUACCAUUUAGGUGUGCUCUUCCUUGGAAACCUCCUGAGGUCUCUCCAGUGUAAAAGUGGAAAGUCUUGACAGAGAUGCACACAGAUGGAGAAAGCAAAGAAAUGCUCAUUGGUCGUCCUGUUGUUUCAGCUAAAGCCUGCAGGCAACAUGACCAGGGGCAGAGCAAAG